Long non-coding RNA from Magnolia sinica, 1351 nucleotides. RefSeq lists it as uncharacterized. Lineage: Eukaryota; Viridiplantae; Streptophyta; Magnoliopsida; Magnoliales; Magnoliaceae. The record is from RefSeq and is a predicted model, not a curated record. The transcript is spliced from 3 exons.
ACACAUGCUCUAAGGUUCUUUCCAUCGAGUUUGAAUUUCAUUUUCAUUGUCGUCAGCUAGGGUUCUUUUUUAGUAGAAUAUGAUAACAGUUUCAGGGUUUGGUGCUUGAACCCUGAUUCAUGGAGAGCUCAUUGAAGAUUGGGAUUUUUACGUGGAUUUCUUAGUGGUUUUAUUUCUGGGCAGAAUCAUGGAAUUUGUUCAGUUCAAUUGAAUAAUUUGUGGCUUUUUUUUUUUUUUUUUUUUUUUGGUUUGAAAAUUUAUGAAAGAUUUGAUUUUCAAUUGUUUGGAAUAUUGUUUAGGUCAGUUUGAUUUUCAGAGUAGGAUCGAUGCAUUGUAUGGAAACAGUAGACACUAAACAACUCACUGGUUACCAUCCCUUGUCUUCACACACAGGUGGCCUACUUUGUGGACUAGCUGGAUUGUUAUGCCACUGCAUCAACUGAAUGGAUCCUUUUUUAAAAAUGGGAUUCGAGGCUUUUGAAUUGUGAUGUGUACUGAAUGUUUGACAAAAUGCCAAAGGAGACACGCAUACCAAAUGUUUGAUAUGAUUACUAACAGAAACUUGGCUUUUUGUAACAUAGGGAUUAGGGGAUGUUACUUUGUAGUUUGUGAACUUCUGCUUGUAUAUGCCGGUCACAGGUGGCCUGAUUGCAUCAUCAUAUUGUUUGUGAAUGAAGUUACCUACCCUGUUUAAUUUGGAAUGCAUCAGUAGUCGUCUGCUCUUUCCUGCCUAGAGUGGGUCCUCUGUGACCACGGUCCUCAUUUCUGCUUUAAAGAUUCUGACUUAAAUCUUGUUUGGGGCUCAUUUUAGGUGUGAAGUUGCUAUGAUGCCUCUUGCUUAUUUAUAAGAAAGUAUCUAGUGCUAGAUGCUACUAUCUUAGUUAUCUCAGGUUCAGAUCAGAAUCUGGUUUCUUUUUCUUUUUCUUUUUUCUUUUUUUUUUUUGCCUUUUACCCUUUGUUUCAGGUUGAGAAGUUUUUAGAGAUUUUAGAGGAUAAUGCUUGUUGAUGCUUCAGCUGAUGAGAGUUCACCUCAAAGAGGAGCAUGCUGCUAUUUUUUUUUUGUUGCUUUUUUAAACUAACCAGCUUCUAUAAUCAACAGAUAUGCUGUAUUUUCUACUUCGAACUACUGUGACUAGGUUAAGAAGAUUUGCUAGGAUUCAAGGUAUUCAAUGCUCAUUGGGCCCAUGACCAGCCUUAUACAGACCAAACACAACCAACCAUGCAACAAUCCUUUAGUGCAGAACUUUUUGCUGAUAUUUUUAGUUGAACAAGAGAAUUAGGAAUUUAUGUCAAUUCAAUCUCUCUUUUCAUUCUUUUAGUGGAAAUAGUUCUUGGGCAAUGUUUUCUAUUA